CCCUCAGGGGAAUUGCGGCACCGGGCGAGGGGACAGAGCGCAGCCCUCGGGAAAUGAGGCACAGAGGCCACCGCGACCCCAGAGCGGGCGGGCCGGGGAAGCGCCCCGCUGGAGACGUGCCCAGGGUGCGGUCCCGAGCGAUUUCGCUUCCGCGCCUCCCCGGUCUCUUCCCUCCUGAGCCCUGCACGGAAACUCCCGCUCCGUCCCGUCCCGCAGGCUGUCCGGGGAAUCUCCUCCCUACGCGUCAGUGAAUGAGGAGCCUCCCCGGUGUCUUCCCCUUGGCUCCUGCACGGAAACUCCCGCGCCGUUGUGUCCCGUUCCGCUGUGCGGGAAUCCCCUCUUUCGGCGUCAGUGCGGGUCCCCGAGCACCCGCAGCGCCGGCCGGGCGCGGGGUGACCGUCCCGGGGCCGCCACCACGAAAGCCGCGGGCGGCGAAGGCGGGCGGCUGGCGGGGCACGGCCGGGCCGCCAGGGGGCGCGGCGGGGCCGGGCCCGGCCGCUGAGGGCGCCUCAGGGCGGCGGCCGGCAGAGGGGAGCGCCGCGGCCGUGCCUGCCCUCGGAAAGGCUACGGCCCUUCCAGCUGCAACAGGCGAAUUUACCUCGGGUACACACUGAGAAACGGGGGCUUCACUCUCUCAAACGUGCGCAGACCCAUUCCUUUUUUGUUUCCAAGACCACCAGUCCAGUUGCCCUGAAUCUGUUCACAGUAAUCCACCAUAAUCACGACAGCUCCAUCAUCCUAUAUGUAAUGGGUUUAAUUUGUAUCCAUUAUUAUGGCAUCCAAGUAGUCCUCAAUAUUCAUUUCUCAGCAGUUUGAAGAGAGGUAGAAGUGCUUCCAUUCCCAUGUCACAGGUGGGAAGUUAAGGCACAGGCAAAUGAAAUGCCAUGUCUGUAGCUACACAAUAUGUAAAAUAAUACAUACUUUUUACACAUGUAAAAAAUCAUAUCCUGAAGCCCAAAACCAUGUACUGAAUUCCUCUACUCCUCUGUCUGUUGAGAGUUUUACAUAUAGCAAUAAAAAAGUUUAAUGUGUUUAUUUGUAAAAAAAUGUAACUCCUAAGCCACAAACAUUAUCAAAAUACAUUCAUUUUGAAUUUAAUUUCUAGAUUCUUGUUGCUGCAAUUCAAGUUCAAUGCUUGAUCUCAGGUAGUACAUCAAAAUAAUGGUCAGAGAACCUGAAUGUCAACACCUGGUUAGCUCAUAGCGAACAGAAGGAACAGCAGUGGGAAUGCAGAAGACAGUAGCAUGUUCUCAUGUACAGGAGAUUUACUCCCUGUGCACAGCACACAUCUGAAACAUAACUCCAGUGGCAGAAACUCAAGGAAGAUGUCAUGGAUAUUUUAUUCAGAAACUUCUGAACACAUCCCAGUUCUAAUCAUCUGGCUCUUUGUUUUCAGGACGUUAUCACCUGAAAUCUCAUUUCUUUAUUUUCAUUCUCUUGUCCAGAGCAAUUUGUUAAACACAGAGCAAUUUCUCAUCAGAUAUCUCCAAAGUAUUUCCUCUUAAACCAAUCUGUCUAAAGUUCUCCCUACAGCCAAGAAACCACGUACCUUCACAAGUAUUCUAGGUGUGUCUGCAGGCAGCCAAACCAGUAGGCCUGCAGCUGAAAUUCCUUAAAAAAGCCAAACCACAAAACCCAAACAAAAAAAAAACCAAGAAGGAUUUAGUUCAUUACUGUCUUUGUCUGUACAGUAAUGUGAAGGGAUGGGUGUAGGAGCAGUGCUGUCUCGAGAGGCUAAUGCUGAGUACAAAUAAGCUACCAGUUGACUAAAAGCUAAAGAACAGUUUUUCUCAAAAACCAAACUGUUUUUCAGCUUUAUCAUACAGUUCCUCCCUCUUUUCUAAUCCACUGUAAGGAUCUAAACAUGAACAGUGUAUCCCACAGAGCAUGGCAUGAAUAACCAAAAACGUAUGAAGAGUUAUGAUAGUAAGGAUAGUACAUCACCAUAAAUGAUAUAGCUGUUACAAUACUAUAGGUGUGAGUAAUUUAAAAGUAUAUCGUGUAAGUGUGACAUGAUCUUGCAUUAUUCUCUACUAAUCCACUUUACUUUUGGUUACGUGGGGGUUUGUUUUGAUCCUUUUUUAUAUUACCUGAUCUUAAUAUUUUAUUCUGCUUAGAAAAAUGGAAAUUGUUGGCGAUUGCUGAUUCCAUAAAUAGAGCAGCCUAUGAAAAUAAUGGAGGAGUUAAGGAAAUUCAAGUCUUCAGUGUUGCUGGGGAGAUAUCCAUCUUCUCUCAUCACAUUUAUAAAGGCACAACUAUUUUGUCUUUUAAUGUUUCAGAUUAGAGAAAGUACAUGGUUCUCAUGCACUGAGAAUAAUUUAUAUGGGAAAGAGAAACUAGAAACUAAACCAAGGGAGAGUGGAAAGAUAGGCACCAAUGGGACUAAAUAUACAUUAUUAUCAUUACAGAGAGGCACCUUGUAUUUUCUCAUUCUUAAAUGGCACUAGGGUGUGGUGACUGGAACAAUGUCCAAGUAUUAGGACAGAGGCAGUUUUAGUACCUGAAGUUUAUGUACAAAAUACCUAUCAGAUUACAGUGCAAAAAGAAACAUAAGAGCUGUGUGUAGUAUACGGUAAGCUGACAUUUGAAUGACAUCAGUGACUCUGAAAAUUUUGCAAUGGAAACCAGGACAUUUUUUCCUUGCUUUCUUUUGUGAUUGUUACUUUAUUAUUACUAGCUGUUGCUAAUUAUCAGAUGCCUACAUAACUUGCUUCAAUACCUGCAACCUAAUUUAAGGAAUGAGGGAUAUAUUUGCAGUAAUUAUAGCAUAAACUAUGAGCAAACUAGAGAUUCCAGAAUAGCUGUAAUGCGUAACACUGGAUGAUUGCUUUAAAACAUCACAGCUUCCAGGUUUCAGCAGCAUAAUUGAAGCCGAAUGCCACAGGAUGCAAACAUUGAUUACUUCCCUCCACCCCCUCAGCUUUCUGCCAUUAUUAGACAUCUCAAAAAAGAAGCUUUAUGAUUAAGUCUUUGUACUACUAAAAAAAAAUAAACCACACACAGACAAAUCUGUAGGAAAUUAAGGAACUGGAAAUGGCAUCUAUUCUAGUUAUGUGAUAGAAUAGGUGGAUGAUUAUAAAAGUGAGCUUAGAAGUGCAUUCAGCAUUAUUGGAACAGAACAAUGUGACUACAAUGCAUUUUCAUGACAAUGACAUGCCUACUCAGUCUGAAUUUGUGAUGAACAUACCAUAUUCCUGUGUUCUUCUUCAAGUCUCCAUGCAAUAGAUCACUCAAGUAAUAUUAAUCAGAUGUUCUAUUUUUAUAUGGAUGCCACCAAACUGCUUCUUUCAAGAACCUGAAAAAUGGGGUGAACUUAGCCAUAACUUGGUCCUUUCUGAUAACUGAAACAAUUCCAAUGUCUGAAACUGAACACAGCACUGAAACAAUUCCAAAAGCCUAAUGUACACUGCAGUUUGAGAAUUGUUAUAUCUUUCUUUCCUGCCGUUGAUUAAUAUAGUUAAUUUCCUGCUUUGCUAGUGCUGAUUGUUUCAAUCCAUUGAACAAAGACAAGGAAUUUAGCAUUUGCUGGUACAAGUGGAACCAUCAGUGCCACCAUCACUGUUGGAACCAUUGGCAAGAACCGUGGCUGAACACAGACUGCAGGCUUUAACCAUCUAUAACAGAACAUGCUGAUGGAUACAUUCAGUCCCUUUAUUUUUCUAGGAUGAACUGUCUCCUAUAACUUCAUCAUUUUGUGAUCUGCUUUCAAAACACACAAAUACUGAUGAAGCUCUGUUUUUGUGAAAUAAAGUCUAAAGAGGUGUCAGACUCAGAGGUUAGACAUAAAGAAAAACUCUCCACGUCUUUCAGGGUUUCACUUUAAACACUACUUUUUCAAGGACUAGUGUCUACAGUCUCACAGGUGUCAAGAAAAAUACAUUUCUUCUUCUUAAAAAGUAUCUGGGUCUUCUGUGUUUAAAAGCCUUUGAAACCUCUCCUCGCUGUCUGCAUAAGAGCACCUCUGUCGUGAGGACCCAGAAAACCUUGUCACCAUGGCACAAGCGUGAGGAAGUUUGAUCCAGGCAAGAAGACAGAGAUCAGCAGCACAACCAUAAGGUGCCUUCCUGCCACAUCCUAAGUGUUCUUCCAUAGAACCAGCAUGCUUCUAGAAUAUUCAUAAAAUCAAUGCCAACAUUAGCAAUACUUCUUGGGAGGCCAAGUCUUCAUAUGUAACAGUUGCUUUGUGAAUUUGGCUAAUGCAGAAGAAAUUAGCACAUAGCCUCUACAAUUUAAAGAUUGUACUUGUUUUGUGGAAGAAACCGACAAAUGCCCUUUGGGCAAAAAGAGAAGAUGGUUCUAUUUCCAGAGAGGAAAAACCUCAUGGCUCCUUAAGACUUUCUGUCAUAUUUGAUAAUUCACUGUUAGACACAGAACCAGAAAGCAGAAGCCUCUCUCCCACACAAUGGGUUCCUAUGGUCUGGGUUCUAGAGAGAGGAGGAAUUGUGUCUGGAAAGAUUUGUGAAAUCGUGUGAGGGUAUAAAACAUUCUGUUUCCCAGGUGAAAGAUUUUCUGAGUGGGUAACAGAUCUUACCAGUACUAUCUGUGAUGUUGAUUUGACUUCUGCAAUGGAUUUUGUGCCUCCACCUGCAAGGACUCAAGCAGCAACAACUGCUUGAGAAAUAAUAGGAAUAUCAUGAAACACCUCCACCCCCAUAAUUAUCAAUCAUUAGUCCUCGAUAGGAGCAUCAGGGUCGUGUGCUCAGUCUGACAAAGCAGACUGUGAUCCAUUUAACCACUUUGGCUUUCACCUCCAGGCAAGGCCUCAAGCAGUAGGGGCUUUUUCUUCAGCUACUCACAGAAAGUUUAUCAUUUUUAGAUAAAAUGCAAUUUUCUGAGCUACUCAGUGUGGUUGGGUACUACAGAGCCCAUAGUUUUCUCCCAGUGUGCAACCAGACACCAGGUUUCUCUCAGGGGAGGAGCUGUGCAGUGACCUGGGUUGCUCUGCCCCUCAGUGUGC
Molecule: long non-coding RNA, 4957 nt
Organism: Passer domesticus (house sparrow)
Lineage: Eukaryota; Metazoa; Chordata; Aves; Passeriformes; Passeridae
Exons: 4
Source: RefSeq, a predicted model, not a curated record